RNAcentral lists this transfer RNA (90 nucleotides) under Gammaproteobacteria bacterium. RNAcentral's name for it is "tRNA-Ser". It matches the Rfam family "tRNA". From Rfam's summary of the family: Transfer RNA (tRNA) molecules are approximately 80 nucleotides in length. Their secondary structure includes four short double-helical elements and three loops (D, anti-codon, and T loops). Further hydrogen bonds mediate the characteristic L-shaped molecular structure. tRNAs have two regions of fundamental functional importance: the anti-codon, which is responsible for specific mRNA codon recognition, and the 3' end, to which the tRNAs corresponding amino acid is attached (by aminoacyl-tRNA synthetases). tRNAs cope with the degeneracy of the genetic code in two manners: having more than one tRNA (with a specific anti-codon) for a particular amino acid; and 'wobble' base-pairing, i.e. permitting non-standard base-pairing at the 3rd anti-codon position. The record is from RNAcentral. Lineage: Bacteria; Pseudomonadati; Pseudomonadota; Gammaproteobacteria.
GGAGAGGUGGUAGAGCGGUUGAAUGCACCGGUCUUGAAAACCGGCGUGGGCUCGCGCCCACCGAGGGUUCGAAUCCCUCCCUCUCCGCCA